RNAcentral lists this ribosomal RNA (400 nucleotides) under uncultured bacterium. RNAcentral's name for it is "bacterial SSU rRNA". It matches the Rfam family "Bacterial small subunit ribosomal RNA", at positions 127 to 518 of the family's 1533-position model. The record is from RNAcentral.
UGCCUGUAAGCGGGGAAUAACCCGUUGAAAGACGGACUAAUACCGCAUAAUACUAAAUUACUGCAUUGGUAAAUUUUAUUUUAAACAUUUUAUGGCUUUACAGAUGGGCAUGCGCAUGAUUAGCUAGUUGGAGAGGUAACGGCUCCCCAAGGCAACGAUCAUUAGGGGUUCUGAGAGGAAGGUCCCCCACACUGGUACUGAGACACGGACCAGACUCCUACGGGAGGCAGCAGUGAGGAAUAUUGGUCAAUGGACGAGAGUCUGAACCAGCCAAGUCGCGUGCAGGAAGAAUGUCCUAUGGGAUUGUAAACUGCUUUUGCAGGGGAAUAAAGUGCAUCACGUGUGAUGUUUUGUAUGUACUCUGCGAAUAAGGAUCGGCUAACUCCGUGCCAGCAGCUGC